This 460-nucleotide ribosomal RNA is filed under the name uncultured bacterium. Its description in RNAcentral is "partial 16S ribosomal RNA". It matches the Rfam family "Bacterial small subunit ribosomal RNA", at positions 338 to 795 of the family's 1533-position model. The record is from RNAcentral.
CCUACGGGAGGCAGCAGUGAGGAAUAUUGGUCAAUGGGCUUACGCCUGAACCAGCCAAGUCGCGUGAGGGAAGACUGCCCUAUGGGUUGUAAACCUCUUUUGUCAGGGAGCAACGCCGGCUACGUGUAGCCGGACUGAGAGUACCUGAAGAAAAAGCAUCGGCUAACUCCGUGCCAGCAGCCGCGGAAAUACGGAGGAUGCGAGCGUUAUCCGGAUUUAAGGGGUUUAAAGGGUGCGUAGGCGGAAUGCCAAGUCAGCGGUAAAAUCGCGGGGCUCAACCUCGCUCCGCCGUUGAAACUGGCGUUCUUGAGUGGGCGAGAAGUAUGCGGAAGGCGUGGUGGAGCGGUGAAAUGCAUAGAUAUCACGCAGAACUCCGAUUGCGAAGGCAGCAUACCGGCGCCCAACUGACGCUGAAGCACGAAAGCGUGGGUAUCGAACAGGAUUAGAUACCCGAGUAGUC